CUACGGGUCGCUCCAGUGAGGAAUAUUGCACAAUGGGGGGAACCCUGAUGCAGCAACGCCGCGUGGAGGAUGACGCAUUUCGGUGUGUAAACUCCUUUUAUAUGUCAAGAAAAUGACGGUAGCAUAUGAAUAAGCACCGGCUAACUCCGUGCCAGCAGCCGCGGUAAUACGGAGGGUGCAAGCGUUACUCGGAAUCACUGGGCGUAAAGGACGCGUAGGCGGGCUUGUAAGUCAGGUGUGAAAUCCUACAGCUUAACUGUAGAACUGCACUUGAAACUACGAGCCUAGAGUAUGGGAGGGGGAGAUGGAAUUAGUGGUGUAGGGGUAAAAUCCGUAGAUAUCACUAGGAAUACCUAAAGCGAAGGCGAUCUCCUGGAACACUACUGACGCUAAGGCGUGAAAGCGUGGGGAGCAAACAGGAUUAGAUACCCCCGUAGUC
RNAcentral lists this ribosomal RNA (439 nucleotides) under uncultured bacterium. RNAcentral describes it as "partial 16S ribosomal RNA". It matches the Rfam family "Bacterial small subunit ribosomal RNA", at positions 339 to 795 of the family's 1533-position model. The record is from RNAcentral.